UCGGUGAUGAAUGAACUCCCCGCCUGAGGGGUGAAGAGGUUUCUGGUCGCUGACCU
RNAcentral lists this small nucleolar RNA (56 nucleotides) under Thermofilum pendens Hrk 5. RNAcentral describes it as "C/D box small nucleolar RNA". The record is from RNAcentral. Lineage: Archaea; Thermoproteati; Thermoproteota; Thermoprotei; Thermofilales; Thermofilaceae.